GAAUUGACGGGGGCCCGCACAAGCGGUGGAGCAUGUGGUUUAAUUCGAUGCAACGCGAAGAACCUUACCUGGUCUUGACAUCCACGGAAGUUUUCAGAGAUGAGAAUGUGCCUUCGGGAACCGUGAGACAGGUGCUGCAUGGCUGUCGUCAGCUCGUGUUGUGAAAUGUUGGGUUAAGUCCCGCAACGAGCGCAACCCUUAUCCUUUGUUGCCAGCGGUCCGGCCGGGAACUCAAAGGAGACUGCCAGUGAUAAACUGGAGGAAGGUGGGGAUGACGUCAAGUCAUCAUGGCCCUUACGACCAGGGCUACACACGUGCUACAAUGGCGCAUACAAAGAGAAGCGACCUCGCGAGAGCAAGCGGACCUCAUAAAGUGCGUCGUAGUCCGGAUUGGAGUCUGCAACUCGACUCCAUGAAGUCGGAAUCGCUAGUAAUCGUGGAUCAGAAUGCCACGGUGAAUACGUUCCCGGGCCUUGUACACACCGCCCGUCACACCAUGGGAGUGGGUUGCAAAAGAAGUAGGUAGCUUAACCUUCGGGAGGGCGCUUACCACUUUGUGAUUCAUGA
Molecule: ribosomal RNA, 567 nt
Filed under: Shigella flexneri
Lineage: Bacteria; Pseudomonadati; Pseudomonadota; Gammaproteobacteria; Enterobacterales; Enterobacteriaceae
Description: bacterial SSU rRNA
Rfam family: Bacterial small subunit ribosomal RNA
Source: RNAcentral